GGGGACGUAGUUCAAUUGGUCAGAGCACUGGCCUGUCACGCCAGAAGUUGCGAGUUCGAGUCUCGUCGUCCCCGCGA
This 77-nucleotide transfer RNA is filed under the name Bacteroidota bacterium. Its description in RNAcentral is "Bacteroidetes bacterium (marine metagenome) tRNA-Asp". It matches the Rfam family "tRNA". From Rfam's summary of the family: Transfer RNA (tRNA) molecules are approximately 80 nucleotides in length. Their secondary structure includes four short double-helical elements and three loops (D, anti-codon, and T loops). Further hydrogen bonds mediate the characteristic L-shaped molecular structure. tRNAs have two regions of fundamental functional importance: the anti-codon, which is responsible for specific mRNA codon recognition, and the 3' end, to which the tRNAs corresponding amino acid is attached (by aminoacyl-tRNA synthetases). tRNAs cope with the degeneracy of the genetic code in two manners: having more than one tRNA (with a specific anti-codon) for a particular amino acid; and 'wobble' base-pairing, i.e. permitting non-standard base-pairing at the 3rd anti-codon position. The record is from RNAcentral. Lineage: Bacteria; Pseudomonadati; Bacteroidota.